Molecule: non-coding RNA, 1545 nt
Organism: Manis javanica (Malayan pangolin)
Lineage: Eukaryota; Metazoa; Chordata; Mammalia; Pholidota; Manidae
Source: RefSeq, a predicted model, not a curated record
AGGCAUCACCGGGGGAGCUUUCAAUUAUCCAGCAAUUAUAAUGUGCAGCCAGGGCAGAGAACCACUUGUGUCGGGACCAGCAGAGGCUUCACAGGGUUAAUGGUGGCUGAGCUGUAUCCUGAAGGCGCCAUGAUGACGUGCUCACCUCUCAGGGAGGGAGCUGGGACCAACGCGCCCCACCCACUUGUCUUUCUGUUGGGCUGUGUUGCCAUUCUGGAAAGAGCUGGUUUCCUUGCACAGACACAGACCUCUCUACCAGAUCCGCCAAUGAAAGUGACACUCUGCAGGCUCGCAGCAGCUGGCUGUCUCAGGGUCUCCUCUGUGAGCUACUGAAGUCAGAGCGCGUCUCUGUCACCUCCGAGUCUUGACCUGCUCUCCUGACAAAUGGACACGAUCACGCACUGACCUCAGCAGGGUUACCUGAGCCACUUGUUGCCUCAGGAAAGGAAUGUUUGGGAGAAACAGAGAAAAGGCCUCAAAGCAUCAAAUACAUCUGGACUCAGGGCAGAGCGGACCACAGGGGGUCACAGCACAGCCUUCUGCCCCAGAAGAGACAGAGUCUGCUGGGACUGGGGGCAGGGAGAGUCAGUGCAGAAGCUGAGAGUGAGUGAUGCUACGGUGCCUAUGAAGGAAGGAGCCCUGCUCUUCAGUGUUUGCGGACUUCCGUGGGUGAGUACUCCCGGUGUGGCUGAUUUAAAGGUGCCCGUGUGACAUCCCUGAACAUGGAGACACAGGGCAGACAUUUGCACGCUCAGCUCUCACGCGCCUUCCACCUCCCCUCUGGCUGGCUGGUACUGAGGGGAGAGCACGGGGUUCCAGGGAGCGGCCUUUCCUUCCAGAUAUUCUUCCCACUCCCCCAGAUUGUUUUCUGCCUCAAGGAUGGUUCUGGGCUUUUUGCUUUCCCUUCACAUGGUUUUUGGUCAGCGAUCUAAAAAUGGGAGCCAGGCAAGGGCCCUGCAGUCUCCACAGUGCCGUCUCUAAUUUCUGGGCCCCACACUCCUCUCGAGGAUAAACAGCGAUUUCAAAGGACCCCAACAAAGAGUGGUGAAGUACGAGGCAUUGCUGAGAAGUAAUAUCCAAGCCGUGAAAGUGGAAGUGGGAAAGAGGAGCUGUGGGUGGACACGUCUCAGAGGCUGACUAUCUCAGAAGCCGUCACAGAAGACAAAGAACACAGGGAUGUUUAAAGAUCCACUGGCAGCAGAACAAAGGAUGGAAUUAAAAGCAUCUGCAAAACACAGAGAAGAUAAAGCUAUCCCCAGUGUCCACGGCCUCCGUGAUCUUCGUGUUUUGUCUCCCAUUUCUCCAAUACUGGGUUUUAAAACAAGACCUCUGGAUAUUAGCACCUUGCAAUUAUAACUGACCCCUGAACAAUGAGGGGGUUACAGGUGCCAACCACCAAGCAGUCGAAAAUCAGCAUAUAACUUUUGAUUCCCCCAAAACUUAACUAUUAGCCUACUAGGGACCAGAAGCCUCACUGAUAAAACUGUCAAUUAAUGCAUUUUUUGUUCUGUGUAUUAAAUACUGUAUUCUUACAAUAAAGUAAGC